UCCAUCGUGAGGUGGAAUCUGAAGGAAGUCGGCAGCAGAAUUCCGGGCUGAUGAACAAAAACCACAUAUGAGGUUGACUUGGAGUGGACGAAUUUGUACAUCAAAACGAAAUCCAACACUGCUUGAGCUCCGAGCAUUAAAAGUGGCGGGUAUAUGGGAGGAAAGUUAUCGUU
This is a non-coding RNA of Thermoanaerobacter sp. X514, 173 nucleotides long. The record is from Rfam. Lineage: Bacteria; Bacillati; Bacillota; Clostridia; Thermoanaerobacterales; Thermoanaerobacteraceae.